CCGGGUGAGACAUUUUUCCCUUCUGAGGACUCCGAAGGCUGAAGAAUGAAGUGUUAAUGUCAGGGCUUGGAGAUGGCUCAAUGGGUAAAGCGUUUUCCACAAACCAGGAAGGUCAGAGUUCAGAUUCCCAAGAUCCACAUAAAAACCAGGGAAUCUGUCCCCUUGGAACCAUCACUCUUUUACAUUUCAGUCAAAUUAAUGGAGAUGAAGUAACAGCUUACUCUACCCAUUUUUAAUAAACAUUUUAACUGGGAA
This is a long non-coding RNA of Meriones unguiculatus (Mongolian gerbil), 255 nucleotides long. RefSeq lists it as uncharacterized. The transcript is spliced from 3 exons. The record is from RefSeq and is a predicted model, not a curated record. Lineage: Eukaryota; Metazoa; Chordata; Mammalia; Rodentia; Muridae.